RNAcentral lists this ribosomal RNA (21 nucleotides) under Sarocladium kiliense. RNAcentral describes it as "partial 18S ribosomal RNA". Lineage: Eukaryota; Fungi; Ascomycota; Sordariomycetes; Hypocreales; Sarocladiaceae. The record is from RNAcentral.
GAACCAUUGGAGGGAUCAUUA